GCCCCGCCCCCUCGCCCGGGCACGUGGGCCGGGGUCUGCGGGGCCAACCGCGGGCGGCCGGGGGAGGAGUCGGGGCCCACACUAGCGGCGCCGAGCACCCAGCCCCUUUGUCUCCCCCGCCCCCUCUUCCCCACUUCCUGCCCAGCUUUAAACUCGGGAUCCGCGGCGCGGCGCGGACUUUGUAAACACGCGGCGCCUGCGGGGGUGGAGACUGUUUGUGUUGGGGCGCCCGGAGGAGGAGCGCACGCCCCUCGGCUCGGCUCGAGGCGGUGGCGACGCCCCCCUCCCCAGAGGCAAGUCCGAGGCGGCGGGACGAUGAGGCCACAGUCGGUGCUCCGGGGGGCUCACCUGCUCUGGAGGGCUUCACACCAGGGAACCUGCUCUAGUGGGGCGUGGCCUGCUUGUACGGAGACUUCCUGCUCUGCAGUGAUGUUCCAUUCAGCUUCUGAGGGAGAUCUGCAGUCUCAGACCUGGUUGCAGCAUCCAGGCCACGACUGGACUGCCUGUGCUGAGAACUUCAGAGGCGCAAUACCCCACAUGAGAGGGGAAAGUGUUGCCAGAGCACUGGAGCGCACAUCCGAACUGGGGAGCUUGCUGGCUGUGGACCUUAGAAAUUUCUUUACAUUGUUUUUUAGCCUCCGUGUCUUUAUCUGCAAAAUGGGAUUACUAAUGUCUACCGUACAUGAUUGUUGUGAGGACGAAAACAGACAGGCAUUUCAAGCACUCAGUAAGAACUCUAUGAAUAGCACCUAUUUAUUAUGUCCAGCUGGCAAAGGGCUUUGUGGGCACUUCAAAAGCAACAUGUGA
This 807-nucleotide long non-coding RNA is filed under the name Canis lupus dingo (dingo). RNAcentral describes it as "lncRNA (ENSCAFG00020008433.1)". The record is from RNAcentral. Lineage: Eukaryota; Metazoa; Chordata; Mammalia; Carnivora; Canidae.